This 273-nucleotide ribosomal RNA is filed under the name uncultured Staphylococcus sp. RNAcentral's name for it is "partial 16S ribosomal RNA". It matches the Rfam family "Bacterial small subunit ribosomal RNA", at positions 89 to 354 of the family's 1533-position model. The record is from RNAcentral. Lineage: Bacteria; Bacillati; Bacillota; Bacilli; Caryophanales; Staphylococcaceae.
ACGUUAGCGGCGGACGGGUGAGUAACACGUGGAUAACCUACCUAUAAGACUGGGAUAACUUCGGGAAACCGGAGCUAAUACCGGAUAAUAUUUCGAACCGCAUGGUUCGAUAGUGAAAGAUGGUUUUGCUAUCACUUAUAGAUGGACCCGCGCCGUAUUAGCUAGUUGGUAAGGUAACGGCUUACCAAGGCGACGAUACGUAGCCGACCUGAGAGGGUGAUCGGCCACACUGGAACUGAGACACGGUCCAGACUCCUACGGGAGGCAGCAGAC